Molecule: ribosomal RNA, 1165 nt
Filed under: Bothrogonia yunana
Lineage: Eukaryota; Metazoa; Arthropoda; Insecta; Hemiptera; Cicadellidae
Description: 16S ribosomal RNA
Rfam family: Archaeal large subunit ribosomal RNA (bases 939-1097)
Source: RNAcentral
UUUUUAAUUUUUUUUUUUAUUUAUUUAUUUAUUGUCUAAGUAAAUUUAUGAACUUAAUUUAUUUAGUUAACUGACUAGGUUUACUAUAUUUAAUAUUAAAGUAUAAUUAAUUAGUACCUUUUGUAUCAUGGUAGGUUUAAUAAUAAGUUUAUACUUGUUUCCCGAAAAAUAAAUAUUUAUUUAAGGAUUUCUUUUUUUGUUGAAUAAAAACUGUUAAUUUUUAAAUGGUAGUGAAAUGUUAGUCGCUUUGUUUGAUAUCUGGUUAACUAGGAAAUCAAUUUAAUUGUGAACUAUAUUUUAGUUUUAUAUUAUUUUGGAUAAUCUAAAUUUUUUCUUAAAAUUUUUAUUUAAUAUAUAUUUAUUAAAUUUUAAAUCUUUUUUUUAGUUCUUAAUUGAUUAAUAUUUUUAUAUUCGAUUUUUUUUCUUUUAUGUUUUUACUUGUUAAAAUUAUUAAAUAAUUUUUUAAUUAAUAUAAUGAUUUAAUUAGUAAAAUUUUAAAUUAAUUUUUAAUGAACUCGACAUUUAUUAUUUCCAACUGUUUAUCAAAAACAUUUCCUUUAGUUUUCAAUUUAAGGUAAUUUCUGCCCUAUGAAUUUUAAAUGGCUGCAGUAUCCUGACUGUGCAAAGGUAGCAUAAUAAUUAGUCAUUUAAUUGUUGACUUGUAUGAAUGAAUACAUGAGAUAUUAGUUUUAUUAAUUUUAUUAUUUAAAUUUUAUUUUUAGGUAAAAAAGCUUAAUUGAUUUUUAGGGACGAUAAGACCCUAUAGAACUUAAUAAAUUUGUUAAAUUAAUUAGAUUGUAGAUAUUUAUUUUAUUUAUUUUAAAAAAAUUUUUUUGGUUGGGGUGACAGGUAAAUUUCUAGUACUUUACUUUUAUUCAUCAUUAUAUAUAUGUUUUUUUGAUCCAUUAUUUUAGAUAAAAAGAAAAAGUUACCUUAGGGAUAACAGCGUAAUUUUAGUGGGGAGUUCUUAUUUAUACUAAAGUUUGCGACCUCGAUGUUGAAUUAAGAUUAGUUUAGGGGGUAGGUUUUCUAAAACUAAGUCUGUUCGACUUUUAAAAUCUUACAUGAUUUGAGUUCAAACCGGUGUGAGCCAGGUUGGUUUCUAUCUUAAUACUAUUAAAUUUAUUUAGUACGAAAGGACCAGUAAAUUCAAUUUUUUUUGUAA